AACAAUAGAGCACAUUUUUGAUCGAGUCCCUAUUAAUAAAAAUGCGUCCAUUAUUAAUGGGGCUAUACAGGCAGCGGUAUACAAUGGUCAUACUGACGUUGUGCGUUUACUUAUUAAGGCGGGUGUUGAUGUUAAUGAUUUGAACGAUAAUUGUAAAGACUCGGGCCAAUACCCAUCAUCUGCCCUUCACUUUGCUUGUUAUUCCGGGAAUUUUAAAAUAUCGAAGCUGUUAGUAGAGGCAGGCGCUCGUAUUAACAGGACGGACAGAACUGAAGUAACGCCUCUUCAUUUGUGCGUUUGUCCACGCUCAGAUGCAGGAAUUAAAUCAGAGACUGAAGAAAUUCUCCGACUAAAUAAAACGCCCGAAAGGAUACAAGAACGAACAGACUUAGCCUGUUUCCUUGUCAAACAUGGUGCUCAAGUUCUGAUCAAGGACGGGUCGGGCAACAGUCCGCUUGAUGAAUGCAUAGAUGUCAACAUAAAGGCAGCUAUUAUUCGAACGGUCAA
Molecule: long non-coding RNA, 507 nt
Organism: Dreissena polymorpha
Lineage: Eukaryota; Metazoa; Mollusca; Bivalvia; Myida; Dreissenidae
Exons: 4
Source: RefSeq, a predicted model, not a curated record